RNAcentral lists this transfer RNA (85 nucleotides) under Felis catus (domestic cat). It matches the Rfam family "tRNA". Rfam says of the family: Transfer RNA (tRNA) molecules are approximately 80 nucleotides in length. Their secondary structure includes four short double-helical elements and three loops (D, anti-codon, and T loops). The record is from Rfam by way of RNAcentral. Lineage: Eukaryota; Metazoa; Chordata; Mammalia; Carnivora; Felidae.
GCCUGGGUGGCUCAGUCGGUUGAGCGUCUGACUUCGGCUCAGGUCAUGAUCUCACGGUCUGUGGGUUCGAGCCCCACGUCGGGCU